GCCCGGGUGACGGAACCGGUAGACGUGGCGGACUUAAAAUCCGCUGCCCUCGAGAGGGCGUGUGGGUUCGAGUCCCACCCCGGGCACCA
This 89-nucleotide transfer RNA is filed under the name Actinomycetota bacterium. Its description in RNAcentral is "tRNA-Leu". It matches the Rfam family "tRNA". Rfam says of the family: Transfer RNA (tRNA) molecules are approximately 80 nucleotides in length. Their secondary structure includes four short double-helical elements and three loops (D, anti-codon, and T loops). The record is from RNAcentral. Lineage: Bacteria; Bacillati; Actinomycetota.